AACGAACGCUGGCGGCAGGCCUAACACAUGCAAGUCGAGCGCCCCGCAAGGGGAGCGGCGGACGGGUGAGUAACGCGUGGGAACGUACCCUUUGCUACGGAAUAGCCUCGGGAAACUGGGAGUAAUACCCGUAUGUGCCCUUCGGGGGAAAGAUUUAUCGGCAAAGGAUCGGCCCGCGUUGGAUUAGGUAGUUGGUGGGGUAAUGGCCUACCAAGCCGACGAUCCAUAGCUGGUUUGAGAGGAUGAUCAGCCACACUGGGACUGAGACACGGCCCAGACUCCUACGGGAGGCAGCAGUGGGGAAUCGUUAGACAAUGGGCGCAAGCC
RNAcentral lists this ribosomal RNA (327 nucleotides) under uncultured bacterium. Its description in RNAcentral is "bacterial SSU rRNA". It matches the Rfam family "Bacterial small subunit ribosomal RNA", at positions 29 to 383 of the family's 1533-position model. The record is from RNAcentral.